Portunus trituberculatus (swimming crab) is the source of this 305-nucleotide long non-coding RNA. RefSeq lists it as uncharacterized. The transcript is spliced from 3 exons. The record is from RefSeq and is a predicted model, not a curated record. Lineage: Eukaryota; Metazoa; Arthropoda; Malacostraca; Decapoda; Portunidae.
UACAGUGUGCUGUGCCGUUACUUUAUUAUCAUGUGAGUGCUAGUGACCGUUUUCUAAUCGUGCCGCAGUUCGUCGUCCUUGCCCUUCACGGAGAAAAGGAAGAGGAAGAAAAAAGUGGGCGUUGCUGCUCUUUUCCUUACUCAUUCACUCACUCACUCACUCACGGCAAGGAGCCAAAGCUUGACGGAAACAGGAGUAUGGGAACCAGCUUUGUAUAAACCCGCCUUUACCCGCUCUGGUCACCACGUCCGCUGAGAUGGGACACCCUCUCUCUCUCUCUCUCCCUGUGACAACCCGCCGACGCC